AUGACCGGCAGCGCGUGGUUUGCCAGCUGCGCCAUGUGGAUGAAUCGGUUCCCGCUCACACAGUCACCAACCAGUCCACUCUUCGCCCAUACGACGCUCCGUCGCCAGCGGAAGAGGAACGGGCCGCGCUCUCCCACGCAGCCACGCCAACGUCGUCACGCCUUGUGGGAGGAGAAGGUGACGACGACGACGGUUCGAUCUGUGGUCUGCCUCGGCAUGGCAUGGGAGGCAACGGAUCGAUCCGGUCAACCCAGCGUCGUCACGCUCAAGGCCGUCCGCGGCAGCUGCAAAUUGAGGCGGCGACUACAAAUCGAAGGUCAGUGCAUGUCUCUUCUUCCCAUCCCUCCAGGGAAAGUUCUGGAAAUCUGGGCGGCGGCGGCAGUCAAGCUGGGCACGGCGCAGACGGCAAACGCAACUGAGGGCGCACAGCGGGUGUGCGUCGGUGCUGUGAGUUGGCUGCGUGCUGCCAGUGGCGUGCGUGUGGUGUUCGUGCUGCUGGAGGCGUGUGUGCGUGCUAGAUGUGUGGAGCUGAAAGGGACAGACUACCGGGAAGUCAGGGGCUACAUAUCCUUCCUCUCCUUGAUUUUCUCUCCAAAAUCAGAGACCAGCGACUCCAUUCGCCUCCGUGGGUUAGAUGCCGUUGCUGCCGGUGGCGCAUGCUUGACGCCGAGCCUUUUGCAACUGCUGUUGGGUGUGCCCUCUCUUCUAAACCCCCCUUGCCUCUGUAGCUCCGAACACCUCUUCGUGCGCGGCGACCGAUGCAGCGUCGCCUCCAUUGCCGUCACCAUCUUCCCAGCCGUGGCGUCCAGGAGCUCGUCGUCGUCCUCGUUCGACGCCUCCGCCUUUGAGGCCAAGAGGCUCUGCCUCGAUGCCGACGCGCGGGCCGACACCGCCGUGAGGCUGAGGGCAUCACACGCAACCCCCGCCACAUCCACCACCGCAUCUCUAACUUCGAUGUCGCAAUCGUCACUGCCGAUUUGGAUAACAAUGCGCCGCUUCAUCACUGAGUUACGGAGGUUGGGCGUGUUGACGGAUGCACAAUGCGUGAAGCAAUGUGGCAUCUGCGGAUGGAGAUUGCUAGCAAUUCUACUGGUGGUUGAUUUUGGCGGGUGGUACAAACUUGAUUCAAAAUCUGCAGGCAGCAACUCUUCUCAUAUGAUAGAACACUCUCAAGUAUCAUUGCUGAAAGAUGUCAUUGUACCUUACACACAUUUGCUCCCUACCAUGCACCUAUCAGAAAAUAUGGAUUGCCCCACUCUUCUGUACUUGAAGGGAGCCAAACACAGACAUCAGGGUGGUUUGUUGCGUGAAAAACUGUGGGACUUGAUGGUUAAUGAGCCUGAUGUUAUCAUGGAAGAAGGUUUUCCUAAUGCCACACGACAUGGGCAAUCAAUUAAAGGGAUGCGGGCAGUGGCAUAUCAGCCACACGCCCCGGGCCAUGGCCCCCCUAGCCUGGGGCCUGUCUACGCCACUGGAUGCGGGUAUCAGAGUUGGCCGAUGCAACAUCACCGAUUUGGAAGGAGGGGUGCAAAUCUGAGGAUGGAUUGA
Molecule: ribosomal RNA, 1548 nt
Filed under: Triticum aestivum (bread wheat)
Lineage: Eukaryota; Viridiplantae; Streptophyta; Magnoliopsida; Poales; Poaceae
Description: partial small subunit ribosomal RNA
Source: RNAcentral